UUCUUUUCAAUCAUCGAUUUUCCUUUUCAUCAAUUCACAAUCUCAAUUCACCUCGAAACCCCAAUUCCCCCAAUUGAACUUAGGGUUUUCUCGAACCAAUUGUUUCUCUCUCGUUUCCCCAAUUCCGAUCUUUCGGACAAUUUCCUACACUGUCGGUUGCCUGUAUCGGGUUUCCUGCAGGAAUUCAGAGGCUCAGUUUGAUCGUGGGGUGCAAAAGAAAGAGACUUUCUUUUGACCUGCCUUCUAAGCUUUAGUAAGGUUGUCACCUUAAUGUUGAGUUCUGGGAAUAACUUGAACAGUAGCAGCAGCAACAGUGGGAUAACUUCUUUAGAUAUGCCACCCUUGCCCCAGUGUUUACCACUAGAUUCAAUUACAGUAGGCAAUAGAAAAUAUACAGGAGAGCUGAGGAGGGUUCUUGGUGUUUCUGCUGGAAACGCAUCUGAAGACCAUUCUUUUGGAGGUCCGCAUCCUAAACCUAUGGGUCCUGGAGCCUCUGGGGAACUAAAGCACUUCAAAGAAAGUGUACAAGAUGCCUCCAGAAAGGCAAGGGAUAGAUCAAAAAUGUUUGGGGAAUCUUUGUCUAAAUUGGAAAAGUAUGAGGCAUUGAACAUAAAGAAGCGACAAAGGACUGAUUUAUCAAGUGAUAGGGGAGGUGGAGUAAACUUGACAAAGAUGGGUAACCAGAUUCACAAAACCCCUAAUGAUAAUUUAACUCAGAGAUCAGAAGCAAGGGCCUCAAAUUCAAUGCUGAACAAGCGAAUUCGUACAUCAGUGGCAGAUGUGCGGGAGGAAAGUAGGUCUGCUGCUAUUGGAAGGCCACGGGUGGUCACAGAGAAGGAUGGAAAUCUGGUUCAGACGCUUGGUGGGAGUUCUGUUCGAAAUGAAGAGAAAACUCGCAGAUUACUUGCUGGAGGUGAAGGGUUGGAUCAAAAAAUAAAGAAGAAGAGGUCUGUUGGAACUGUAGGAAACAGAGUUAUAACUGGGGAAAGGGAUGUAAAACGAACUGCUCUUCCAAAGGCAAAUGCUGAUUUGAAAAUGCGACUUUAUGAUGCUCAGGGUUUCAGAUUGAAGUCUGGACCUGGGGGAAUCAAGUCUGAGGGCUCUUCAGAGCUUACUAGUACAGGUGUGCGUGUGAUGCUUACAAGUGAGCAAGGCGUUUCUCUUCACAGGGAACACAUAGCUGAGCAGAGAGUUGUUGCCAAAGGAAGCAAUAGGGGAAACACUCCGGAGGACCCAGCCAGCAACCCUAAUACGCUAAUAAAAAACAAGGUAUCUCGGGCACCAAGAACAGGUUCAGUUGGUGCACUAGAAUCAUCUAACAUUCAACCUUCAUCUACAACAUUUCCAGGUUCUUCUAUUCAUCCAAUGACCCAGUGGGUUGGUCAGAGGCCACCUAAAAAUUCACGCUCACGAAGAGUGAAAGUAGUUUCUCCUGCCUCACGCAAUCUUGAAGUUCAGGUUUCAUUCGAAGGCUGUCUAACUUCUGAGUUCUGUGUAAAAGCUUCUUCUGCUGGCAACAAUGGAUUUCAACUUGCAAGUAGUGCAGACAACAGUACACCAAAAUAUAAAAGACCGCCUGAUGAUACUUCAUCCCCCUUUGGAUUAUCUGAAAGUGAAGAAUCUGGAGCGGGGGAAAACAAAAUAAAAGAAAAAGCUGUGAAUGGAAGUGACUUUGCUAUGGCCGCAGAUAAGGCUGGGGCUUCUGUGUUUCAAAUGAGGAAGAAUAAGAUAUCAACUGAUGAAUCUGGAGAUAGUGUGCAGAGACAAGGAAGAAGUGGAAGGAAUUUAUCAUUAGUAAGGCCAGACCUCCCUUCUGGGAGGGAGAAGUCAGAGAAUGUACCAACAAUGAAGCCAGUACAAGACAUGAAGCCUAAUGAUAAGAGUAAAACCAAAUAUGGGCGCCCUCCUUCAAAAAAGCAGAAAGAGCGCAAAAUUUUGACUCGUGUAGGGAAGCAACUGAACAUUAGUUCUCCUGAUUUUGGAGGUGAACCUGAUGAUGAUCACGAAGAAUUAUAUAAAGCUGCAAAUGCUGCUCGUAAUGCAAGCAACCUUGCUUGUUCGGGUCCAUUUUGGAAGAAAAUGGAAUCUAUUUUUGCUUCUAUCAGCUUGGAUGAUGCAUCUUACUUGAAGCAACAGCUCAAUAUUGCUGAAGAAUUUGAUAAAAGUUUAUCUCAUAUGUUUUGCAUUGAUCAUGAUCUGUUGGGUGUUGUUAUAAAUAACAAGCCAACUCAGGGUUCAGAGGAAAGAAAGAGAAGUCACUGUGAUGAAGAAUCAACUAAGUUUGAUGCUUUAGAUGGUAAGAAGGACAUGGAAAGACUGGACAAGGUUACCCCACUAUUCCAAAGACUUCUUUGUGCUCUAAUUGAAGAAGAUGAAAAUGAAGAAUCAUAUCACCAAAGUGAUGCAAAGAAUAUAUCUCGACAAUGUGCUAGUGAUGAUUCUCACUGUGGUUCUUGUAAUCAAAUUGAUUUUGAACCCAAAGAUCGGGAUAGAAUGGACUCUGAAGUUGAGUCAGAGGUGGAUCUUCAAAUUCAGAAGAACUGCAUGUUGGAUAGACUAUCUUGUGAUAAGAGCACCACAUCCAACACAUUUAGAUACCCAAACACAUCCAGCUCUUUACAAAGCACUGGAGUUUGGCAGGGAGAUGAAGAAUUUUCUCUUUCAGAUAUCACACAUACCGGCGAAAUAUGUUCAAAUGAUCUUGAUCAACUGCAGCCUGCUGAAUUAAGUGUUCCUAGCUUUCCUUCUCCUGAUGGCCAGUAUCAGCAGAUGUCACUGGAUGAUAGACUGCUGCUUGAGUUGCAGAGCAUUGGCUUAUAUCCUGAAAUAUUGCCUGAUUUAGCUGAGGAAGAUGAAGCUAUAAAUCAAGACAUUGUGAAACUUGAGAAAGCACUGUAUGAACAGAAUGGGAGUAAGAAGAAUAACUUGGACAAGAUUGAUAGAGCUGUUCAAGAAGGGAGGGAUGUGGAGAGGCAGAAGAUUGAGCAAGCUGCAUUUGACCAACUUAUUGAAAUGGCUUACAGAAAGAGAUUGGCAUGCCGUGGAAGCAAAAAUUCAAAAGGUGCAGUUCACAAGGUGUCUAAACAAGUUGCUUUGGCUUUUGUCAAACGUACUCUUGGAAGAUGUAAAAGAUAUGAAGAAGCUGACAUUAACUGCUUCAGUGAACCUACCCUACAAAAUAUCAUGUUUGCCCCACCUUCACGUGAGAAUGAUGCACAACCUGCUGAUUGCAUAGUCUCUGGGACAGCCAGCAAUACAUGUAACAAAGUUUCCCUUCAAAUUGAAGCCAGAAAAUCAGGUGCAGUUUCUAGUGUUUCUGAUAAAUAUGAUUGCCAUAGAGACUAUGCAGACAGGGGAUUGGUUGAUUCUUUUCAAGGUUCAAUUCAGUCAUCAGAGCAAGCAUCAUCCAAGAAUGGGUCCAUGUUUAUCAAGGAAAAGAAGAGGGAAAUGUUGGUCAAUGGUGGUGUCAGUGGUUCUUCCUCAAGAGCAUCAAAUCUUGAUGGUGCUGUUCAUGGUGGACUGAAGGGAAAGAGAAGUGAGAGAGAAAGGAAUCAAAGCCGGGAUCAGAGCGGACAAAAUUCUAUUGGCAGAGCUGGACGCAUAUCACUGGACAGUAGCCAAAAUGAGAACAAACCAAAAGCUAAGAAGCAAAAGAGUACUGCUAGUGGACAUGAUAGGGUUAUGGAAGCAAAGGAUUCUACUCGUUUACCAAUUCAUGAUGCAAUCAAUAAUCAUAGUAAAGAUGGGGCUACGAUAUCUGGUAAUCAGGACACUUCUCAAAUAAAGGAAUCCAAUGACUUUGGGAAUUUGCCACUACCUGACUUAAGUUCAAUAGAAGAAUUUGGUGGUACGCAAGAUCUUAGUUCUUGGUUGAACUUUGAAGAAGAUGGUUUGCAAGACCAUGAUUCUAUUGGCCUUGAUAUUCCAAUGGAUGACCUAUCAGAUUUAAAUAUGCUUAUGUGAAGGGAUGUAACUUACACUCUCCAGGUUACACGUAUCAUAUCUGAAGGAGAGUUUGUAUGUACUCAGUGAACCUUGUGGGGCAUCAAGAUCUUGAUGGUAUACUCUGGUUGCUCAUGGAGGGAAAAUUUUUGUGAUUGGAAUUAGGAAUUUUAACACAUUUUAUAGGGUAAACGGGAGAUGGGGAGUGACUUAUAAUUGGAAUUUGAUAUUUUUGUGGAAAGUUGUAUAGAGGAAGCGACAAUCAUGGGUUUCAUGAAAUUGCUGUCAGAUAUCUCCCUUCUCACAUGAAUCUAACUAGUUUUGCUGUGUUAAAGUCAUGGUCUCAGAAAUGGCUUUUCUAUAGGAGAUUAGAUUAAAGUGCUAUGCCAUUCAUAGCCUGAGGGUGGUUACAUUUCUCAAGCUGACUUCAGCUACCAUACAAUGUCCUAGGGAGCAAAUAACAGAAUGGAUAUUCUAGCAGACAGGGCAUCUUCUCCUUCCAAUGACAUACUGCCAGCUCAGCUUUUAGGUGCAGGAUGAGUCACAAAAUCAUCCAAGUGGUGUGGCCUGCUUGAUUUCCUUUUAGUGCUUGUCUCCUUCUUGUCUGCUAGCCAUUCUUCUGUGCUGGGUUGCUUCAUCAUAACAACACUUCAGAAAGCUUCUCAUGACAAAAUGCCAUGAUACUAGGCCAAUUCUGACUUUUUUGUUACUGACUUAUUAACUAUGGAUUGACUGCAUCAUUUACAAGUUACAAUAAAUCAGUAACCACUCAAGAAUUGUACCAUCGUAGAUUGAGCUAUCUUUGAUAGCGAUUCUUGCCCAAUCUCCUUCAGAAUACAAAUCAUAACGUUUCUUGUUGGAAGCAUAUGUAUUAUCACUUUAUUACUUAUGAAUUAUGUGUUGUUAUAUUCA
Molecule: RNA transcript, 4854 nt
Organism: Glycine soja
Lineage: Eukaryota; Viridiplantae; Streptophyta; Magnoliopsida; Fabales; Fabaceae
Exons: 18
Source: RefSeq, a predicted model, not a curated record